UUUUCUUCAUCCCAAUUUCAGUCUCACUAUCAUUUUUCUGUUUAUGCACGCCAUUAAUUUGUGUUAGAAGAGUCUCUGGAGGUUCGUUUGGAAAUAGCGAGUACUUGAUUAUCCCAUCGUCAGUGUGGAAGCAAAUUAAGUAGAUUAGGAGACUCUUUAGCUUGUUUUGAUAUAUGCAUUGGAAUGACGUUUUCUGUAAGCUGUGUAGAAAAUAUUGGAAACCAUGUUAAUAUUACGUACUAAGUGAGACCGAGGGUCCUCAUUUCGUUAUUUCCCAUUGUUUAAUUGGGAUUUUUGUGGAGUACAACACAUUAGUGGCUGAGAAACUUUAAAACACCUGUGGAGGAUACCCUAACAUGCAAUGGGAGAAUGGUGAAUGUGAGAUGGUUCUGAUCUUCUAAGGAUUUUUUUACAAAGAAUAUACCAACUUGGAGUCAAAGAACAUCUGGGGUUCCUUCGUCUGCAAUCUGUUUGGGAUUGUAACCCUUCCAAUGAUAGGUUCCAUAGAAUUAAUUUACUUCUUAGUAACUAUGUCUUUCCAGAUAGAUUGUAUAAGAAUAUUGUCGAGAGGAUUCUAGUAUUAGGAUGCUGGUUUGUAGAAAGAAAGGUCAAUGAGGUUAUGCAAAAGAUAUAUGGAUUUUUGUCUCCAAAUGUGAGAGAGGCUCUUAUAAACGAUGAAUAUCAGGCCUCACGAUUUUCAAAUCACCUGUCUUUGAGAAUCGAAAAGUUUUGGAAAAUAAACUUCAGCUGGAUGGCUUAAAAUCCAACUACCUUUUGAAAAAGGAAUUAAUCUUCUUUACCUAUCUUCGAAGAAUAUUGAUUCUCCAUGACCUUCUAACUUCCAGAUGGAGUUUUUUUAGUUAAGGAUUCUUGUAACUAUUGUUUUUUUUUAUUCAUGCUAUGCGGACCAUUUUGUCACCUCCUUGGCUAGAGCGAGUUGGAGAAAGAGUUAUCUUUCACUGGAGUCUUCCUUUUAUGUGCAUGUUUAUGUUUUGGCGACACAUCUUAUCUUAAAAAAAGGUUUUUUUUAAUAUGAAACAUUAGCUUUCCAAUUCAUAUUGACGAUUGCUUUCACUCAAGUUGUAGAACAUUUCAAGUUAGAUGAACCUUGAAUAAAUCUUCAUGGACAAAAUCAAAAUUGGGUAUACACAUAGAAAGCAAAUCAACCAAGGUCAAGGAAUAUGUAAAAUAACUUUUAUGUUAAGAGGGAUUUAGGGGCGUGGACCAUUGAACAAAUGUUCUUCAAAAAUCUAAAUCGUACUUCUGAAGCUGCAUAGAGUGACAAUGAGCCAUGAACUAGUGCUACUUAACCAUUCAAACUCUGCAUUCAUAAAAGGAACCAAUGACUCAGAUACUCAUGGUUAUAAGAAAAGAGAGAAAAAAAAAGAAAAGUAAAAGAAAGAGACCACUUGAAAAUAAGGCUUGAGGGUACAAGGAGAUCAAAGAGGAUGAAGCCAUUAAAUUUGUUUUUUGACUUUGAUCUAACUUGGGAAAGCAACAUUUAAGGUUAUGCAACACACCUAUGUUGGCUAAAUAGCUUUGACACAUUUCCAUUGUGCUUGAUUUUCUAUGGCAUAGGAUUAUUGUUAGUAAGUAUUAAUGUUUAAGGUGUAGCCGGGUGCUUGCUUGAGGCGAGGCGAGGUCUUGACGGCUUGCAAGUACCCAAGGCAAGCACCUUUAGUAAGGCACUUGCCUUUUGUGCCUUUCAGUUGCCUUGAAUAUAGUUCAGAGUGACCAGGCACUCACCUUGUUCAAUUACUCAACUUUUUUUAGAAAAGAAAACAUUCUUAUCCAAUAGGAUUAAAAGGAAGUAUCAAAGUUUUUAAAGGUAGAAUUAAAGAAAAAUUGAAGAAAGGAAGGAGAAUUGUAGAAGAAAAAGAGUCACAGUAGAAACAAUAUCAUUUUUAUUUCUGUAUCUUCUUUUAAACAUUCUUUUCCUCAAGAUUAUUUGAGUUUAUUUCUUUCUAACCUUAUAUAUUAUUUAUUUAUUAUUGUUAUUAUUUUGUUAAUUGCACCUUGCUUCAAUCAAGAGACUCCUUUUGGGCCUUAGGGUGCGCCUUGCGCUUUGAAAACACUGUUAAGUAUGACCUCCAUCUCUUUGAAGGGUUGUUCAGAGGGGCUAUAUAGGUAGAAAUUGGAAUCUUUAGAAAGAUAUUUCUUUCGAGUUCUUUUCCUCCUCGCUUCUUCUUCGUUGUGUUGUGGGUGAAGGUAAGCAGUUGUAUUUUUAAGAACCAGUGGGUGGGGGAUAGACCCCUUUGCUUUGCGUUUCCUCACUUAUACCAUUUCUUCCUUUAAAAAUCGUUUGGUUUAUGAUUUCUUUGUUUGGCUAGGGAUCUUAAUAUCUUUCUCCCUUGCUUAACGUUGUUUGUUGUCUGAUAGGGAAAUGACGGAGGUAGCCACUCCACUAGUUUGUCUUUGCUUGAGAGAUGUUACCUGAUAAUUGCGGAGUUCUUCCUCCAUCCAUCUUUCUUCAAGAAAAGCCUCUUCUUAUUGUCUGCUGCCUGCUGGGGUUUGGAACAACAAUUCUCAGAGGUGUGGGGAGGGACCUUCGUGAUGCUUGGUUCUUGAUGAGGUUCUAUGUUUCUCAAGGCUGCGUUUUCAAAGAAUUUAUUUUUUCUUUUGGUAAUUAUGCCCUUGUAUUCUUUCAUCUUUUUCCUCAAUAAAAGCCGUUUCUAUUUAAAUGUGAAAAAUUUCUUUGGAACAACUAGAUUAUUAGGGCUUCCUUUUGGACCAUUUGGGGUGAGCAAAAUACAUGUGUUUCCAAGACAAAGAAAGAUGAUCUUAAUUUAUUUACUUAUUUUUAUUUGUCUUGAUGACUAUGACUUGCUGUAAUAAGUACCCUUAGUUCCAAAAUUAUGCUCUCCUUUCUCCCCUACCAUUAGAAAUGUUAAAGUAAUUCUUAGGAGUGGGAGAAUUUACCUUCUGUACAUACUUUCACCCUGUCUACGAAAUUAUAGUCGUUUCUCUCAAAAGAAAAAAGAGCUAGAAACUCAUUUCUUCUUUUGGAAGUACCGAGGCUCUUGUUGUUAGUUGCAAGAUGUUUUCUUCCAUAACGCUUCUCUCAUGUUGGCAACAACAAGAAAAUUAGAUUUUGGGAGUGCCUGUCCUUAUAAAUUUUCUGACCUCCCGAGACAUUAUCCUUUCUCUAAUAACAACAAUUGGAUUAUUAGCAUGGUUAGAGAUGGACCAUCAAUCUUAGAAGAAAUCUGGAUGUUGCAGAUGCAGAGUGGAUCUCUCUCACCAACAUCGUUAGAGACAUAUCUUAAUGACAUGUUUUCUUCAAUGGUCCCUAUGCUUCAAAUUCCUGUGUUCAUCACUUCAAAGUGGGCCACUCUUCUAAAGGAUCCCCAAACAACCUUUCUCUUAUCUGUGGAGGUUUUUCCCUUUAAAACGGAAUGACAGAAUUCUCUGAGCAAGAAAAAUCUUUAAAUCUUUAACUAUUUUUUUUUUUGAAAAAAAAUUAUCUUUGUAGUUGCAACUUGGGGUAGCUUCCCUAGAAUGAUCUCUCUCCAGUCUCCCCUCUCUGUGCGUGUAAAUUGCAUUUAAUCAUUGGAACUGUCUCUUAUAAAA
Long non-coding RNA from Cucumis sativus (cucumber), 3570 nucleotides. RefSeq lists it as uncharacterized. Lineage: Eukaryota; Viridiplantae; Streptophyta; Magnoliopsida; Cucurbitales; Cucurbitaceae. The record is from RefSeq and is a predicted model, not a curated record. The transcript is spliced from 2 exons.